UCCCUGAGGGUCUAGUGGUUAAGACCCUGUGCUUCCAGUUCAGGGGAUACAGGUUUGAUCCCUGCUCAGGGAA
Molecule: transfer RNA, 73 nt
Filed under: Bos taurus (domestic cattle)
Lineage: Eukaryota; Metazoa; Chordata; Mammalia; Artiodactyla; Bovidae
Also listed under: 2 other names
Rfam family: tRNA
About the family: Transfer RNA (tRNA) molecules are approximately 80 nucleotides in length. Their secondary structure includes four short double-helical elements and three loops (D, anti-codon, and T loops).
Source: Rfam by way of RNAcentral